GACGAACGCUGGCGGCGUGCUUAACACAUGCAAGUCGAACGGAAAGGCCCUGCUUGCAGGGUACUCGAGUGGCGAACGGGUGAGUAACACGUGGGUGAUCUGCCCUGCACUUCGGGAUAAGCCUGGGAAACUGGGUCUAAUACCGGAUAGGAGCCAUUUUUAGUGUGAUGGUUGGAAAGUUUUUUCGGUGUAGGAUGAGCUCGCGGCCUAUCAGCUUGUUGGUGGGGUAAUGGCCUACCAAGGCGGCGACGGGUAGCCGGCCUGAGAGGGUGGACGGCCACAUUGGGACUGAGAUACGGCCCAGACUCCUACGGGAGGCAGCAGUGGGGAAUAUUGCACAAUAGGCGCAAGCCUGAUGCAGCGACGCCGCGUGGGGGAUGACGGCCUUCGGGUUGUAAACUCCUUUCGCUAGGGACGAAGCUUUUGUGACGGUACCUAGAUAAGAAGCACCGGCCAACUACGUG
Molecule: ribosomal RNA, 464 nt
Filed under: uncultured bacterium
Lineage: Bacteria
Description: partial 16S ribosomal RNA
Rfam family: Bacterial small subunit ribosomal RNA
Source: RNAcentral